UUACCCAAUCCCGAUUCGGGGAGGUAGUGACAAUAAAUAACAAUACAGGGCCAACGGUCUUGUUAUUGGAAUGAGAACAAUUUAAAUAACUUAACGAGGAUCAGUUAGAGGGCAAGUCUGGUGCCAGCAGCCGCGGUAAUUCCGGCUCUAAUAGCGUAUAUUAAAGUUGUUGCAGUUAAAAAGCUCGUAGUCGGAUGUCGGGCUCGGGCAGGCUGUCGGCUUCGGUCGGACGGCAGGCUCGGGUCUUUCUGCUUGAGGGUCCCGUGCACUUUAUUGUGGGCGGGGGACGCAGGCCGUUUACUUUGAAAAAAUUAGAGUGUUCAAAGCAGGCCUACGCUUGAAUACAUUAGCAUGGAAUAAUGGAAUAGGACUUUGGUGCUAUUUUGUUGGUUUAUGGGACCGAAGUAAUGAUUAACAGGGACAGUUGGGGCCGUUUAUAUUUCGUUGUCAGAGGUGAAAUUCUUGGAUUUACGAAAGAUAAACUUCUGCGAAAGCAUUCGGCAAGGAUGUUUUCAUUGAUCAAGAACGAAAGUUAGGGGAUCGAAGACGAUCAGAUACCGUCGUAGUCUUAACCAUAAACUAUGCCGACUAGGGAUCAGUGGAUGUCAAUUUGCGACUCCUUUGGCACCUUGUGAGAAAUCAAAGUUCUUGGGUUCCGGGGGGAGUAUGGUCGCAAGGCUGAAACUUAAAGGAAUUGACGGAAGGGCACCACCAGGAGUGGAGCCUGCGGCUUAAUUUGACUCAACACGGGGAAACUUACCAGGUCCAGACAUAGUAAGGAUUGACAGAUUGAAAGCUCUUUCUUGAUUCUAUGGGUGGUGGUGCAUGGCCG
Molecule: ribosomal RNA, 832 nt
Filed under: uncultured Cryptomonadaceae
Lineage: Eukaryota; Cryptophyceae; Cryptomonadales; Cryptomonadaceae
Description: SSU rRNA
Rfam family: Eukaryotic small subunit ribosomal RNA
Source: RNAcentral